This 246-nucleotide long non-coding RNA is filed under the name Elaeis guineensis (African oil palm). RNAcentral's name for it is "long non-coding RNA (EGUI_LNC022046)". Lineage: Eukaryota; Viridiplantae; Streptophyta; Magnoliopsida; Arecales; Arecaceae. The record is from RNAcentral.
UUUGAAACUCAUCUUCACCAUUCAUUUUUUAAAUAAUUAUCAUUAAAGUAUGAUUACAAAAGAUUGCCUCGAUCUGAUAGCCCUAGUUAUGUCAAUCAAUAAAAUUUGAUUCGAUGGUCACGAAUGACCACAUAAUGAUCUGAUAGAUAGAGACCAUUGAUGGGUCCAAAAAUUUAUAAUAAUAAUCUUGAUAAUAUUUGUAGCAUACUAUCAAAAGUUUACUUCAAUCGGACAUCAUUAUCAUGG